UGGUGCAUGGUUGUCGUCAGCUCGUGUCGUGAGAUGUUGGGUUAAGUCCCGCAACGAGCGCAACCCUUGAUCUUAGUUGCCAUCAUUAAGUUGGGCACUCUAAGGUGACUGCCGGUGACAAACCGGAGGAAGGUGGGGAUGACGUCAAAUCAUCAUGCCCCUUAUGACCUGGGCUACACACGUGCUACAAUGGACGGUACAAAGAGCUGCAAGACCGCGAGGUGGAGCUAAUCUCAUAAAACCGUUCUCAGUUCGGAUUGUAGGCUGCAACUCGCCUACAUGAAGCUGGAAUCGCUAGUAAUCGCGGAUCAGCAUGCCGCGGUGAAUACGUUCCCGGGCCUUGUACACACCGCCCGUCACACCACGAGAGUUUGUAACACCCGAAGUCGGUGGGGUAACCUUUUUGGAGCCAGCCGCCUAAGGUGGGACAGAUGAUUGGGGUGAAGUCGUAACAAGGUAGCCGUAUCGGAAGGUGCGGCUGGAUCACCUCCU
RNAcentral lists this ribosomal RNA (492 nucleotides) under uncultured bacterium. Its description in RNAcentral is "bacterial SSU rRNA". It matches the Rfam family "Bacterial small subunit ribosomal RNA", at positions 1039 to 1531 of the family's 1533-position model. The record is from RNAcentral.